UACGUAGGGGGCAAGCGUUGUCCGGAAUCAUUGGGCGUAAAGAGCGCGUAGGCGGUCCGGUAAGUCCGCUCUGAAAGUCCGGGGCUCAACCCCGGGAGGCGGGCGGAUACUGUCGGGCUAGAGUCCGGAAGAGGCGAGUGGAAUUCCUGGUGUAGCGGUGAAAUGCGCAGAUAUCAGGAGGAACACCGAUGGCGAAGGCAGCUCGCUGGGACGGUACUGACGCUGAGGCACGAAAGCGUGGGGAGCAAACAGG
RNAcentral lists this ribosomal RNA (253 nucleotides) under uncultured bacterium. RNAcentral's name for it is "partial 16S ribosomal RNA". It matches the Rfam family "Bacterial small subunit ribosomal RNA", at positions 524 to 776 of the family's 1533-position model. The record is from RNAcentral.